UAGAAUCCUAAGUCCUUGGAACCAGUGUAGAAGGGCAGCCUUACUUCCAUGUAGUUAGAAGGACACAUAUCCCUCUGUUAAAUGUAGAGACUCUCAACUGAACUAGAACUAUCCUUGCAUCACUAACCUAAAUUUCUGUUUGAGGCAAUGAAGUAUGAAUUAUUGUUGUUACAAGCAAAGCACUAUUUACAUAUCCAAAUGGAUAUUUUUCUUUUCAAAGCAGUCCCCCUUUGGGGCGGGGGGGUCUACAUAUUUCUUUUAAUUGGGCUGGUAUGGCUCAAAAGCGACAUAGAAAUCCUCUUUCAGAAUUGCAUCUUCUUCUUUGAACGUAGUUUCAAGUUUUAGAAGCAGCCAGAAUCUUUUGAGGCCAAAUCUGAUAACUAUGUGGCUCCAGAAGAGGACAACAUCAGCUAAUCUUCAGUAGUGGGUUUCUGGGCGAUAUCUGGUUGAUUCAGAAUACAAGCAUCUGGAAAGAAGAUGUAGGACAGUGACCACAGCAAGCAGUAAAAAGCAGUUAGGGAGAACGGGGACAAAAGCAGCAUGAAGAUACCUAGAAGAAGAAAAAAGGGUAGGUCUUAUAGACUGGAUGUGUGAAGAGAAGAAAGUGUAUUCUGCUGUUCCUGGAUAAAAAAUUCUAUAAACAUCAGUUAGAUCCAGUUGAUUGAUGGUGCUAUUUGGAUCGACUAUCUCCUCACUGAUUUUCUGCCAACUGGAUCUGCCAAUUUCUGAUAGAGGGGUGAUGAAAUAUCCAACUGUGAUAGUGGACUUGUCAAGUUCUCCUUGUGGUUCUAUCCAUUUUCGUCUUACAUAUUUUGACACUCUAACUGACGUCCAACAGCACUUUCAGACCCUGUAUUUGAGGAGUCCACCUCAAAUGCACCUGCUGCAGUCCAGCACAUGCUCCUCGACCCCCCUGAAAGCAGCCCCUGCAGUCUCAGGCCUACGCUGCCAUUUCUAAGUCUACAUCUCAAUCGCAGUGCUUGGACGGCCAAGCAGAAGCAGAGAGCCUGACCCCAGACUUCAGGUGUCACCAAACAGCCUCAGCAGUACUUCCUUUGGAUCCAUACCUAUGUGUCUAAUAGGAACCAGGCCUACCAUUGUGGCCAUAAAAACUUCUAAUCGUGGAAGAUUAGACUCAACUGAGAAGAUAGAGAUUUUCUCCUGCAGGUAUGCUCUACUUUAUAAGACCCCACAAAUCCAGAUGUAGAGAAUCAUAAACUUUUCAAACUGGAAGGAAACUCAAAACACCAGCAGGUAAAAUCAUCUUAUUUUUAUGGGUAAGAAACGGAUCCAGAGAUAUCACGGGCUGAUGGUCAUAGAGAAUCAAACUGUUAGGAUAUCUGCAUUAUAAAGGAUUUCUCUUUCAAGAACUGAUUUGCCAAGGCCUUGAAACAUGAUUCAAUUUAUAGAAAUAUAAUUUGCUUACAAAAUAUAAUUUGCUUUGCUUUUUAGGGGCCCAUAUACAUGUCUCAGAUUUUCCACAAGAUUGCUAAUUGUAAAUAUUCCCCAGCUUACAUGUUCUCAUUGAAGAAUCAAAAAUUUGGAAUGAAAAAAAAAUUGGAACGGUAGGGCACGCCUGGGUGGCUCAGUCUUUGGCUCAGGUCACAAUCCCGGGGUCCUGGGAUCAAGCCCCACAUCAGGCUCCCUGCUCAGCAGGGAA
This is a long non-coding RNA of Canis lupus familiaris (dog), 1660 nucleotides long. RefSeq lists it as uncharacterized. The record is from RefSeq and is a predicted model, not a curated record. NCBI's taxonomy places the organism in Eukaryota, Metazoa, Chordata, Mammalia, Carnivora, Canidae. The transcript is spliced from 3 exons.